Molecule: non-coding RNA, 115 nt
Filed under: Microcebus murinus (gray mouse lemur)
Lineage: Eukaryota; Metazoa; Chordata; Mammalia; Primates; Cheirogaleidae
Source: RNAcentral
GGCUGGUCUGAGGGUAUAGUCAGUUAUCUCAACUGACUGUUCACAGCUACAGACCGAACUCCUUGUUCUACUCUUUUCCCCCUGUGUCACUGCUGCUGCAGUUGACUAGUUUAGA